This 301-nucleotide ribosomal RNA is filed under the name uncultured bacterium. Its description in RNAcentral is "partial 16S ribosomal RNA". It matches the Rfam family "Bacterial small subunit ribosomal RNA", at positions 509 to 807 of the family's 1533-position model. The record is from RNAcentral.
CAGCCGCCGCGGUAAUACGAGGGGGGCAAGCGUUGUUCGGAAUUAUUGGGCGUAAAGGGUGCGUAGGCGGCUUGACAAGUCUUGUGUGAAAUCUAUGGGCUCAACCCAUAGUCUGCACGGGAAACUGUCGGGCUUGAGAAUGGGAGAGGUGAGUGGAAUUUCCGGUGUAGCGGUGAAAUGCGUAGAUAUCGGAAGGAACACCUGUGGCGAAAGCGGCUCACUGGACCAUUUCUGACGCUGAUGCACGAAAGCUAGGGGAGCAAACAGGAUUAGAUACCCGGGUAGUCCCUGUCUCUUAUAC